Molecule: non-coding RNA, 21 nt
Filed under: Caenorhabditis elegans
Lineage: Eukaryota; Metazoa; Nematoda; Chromadorea; Rhabditida; Rhabditidae
Source: RNAcentral
UGGGACACACUUUUGGUUUUA